UACGGAGGGAGCUAGCGUUGUUCGGAAUUACUGGGCGUAAAGCGCGCGUAGGCGGUCUAUUAAGUCAGGGGUGAAAUCCCGGGGCUCAACCCCGGAACUGCCCUUGAAACUGGCAGACUAGAAUCUUGGAGAGGCGAGUGGAAUUCCGAGUGUAGAGGUGAAAUUCGUAGAUAUUCGGAAGAACACCAGUGGCGAAGGCGACUCGCUGGACAAGUAUUGACGCUGAGGUGCGAAAGCGUGGGGAGCAAACAGG
Molecule: ribosomal RNA, 253 nt
Filed under: uncultured bacterium
Lineage: Bacteria
Also listed under: 1 other name
Description: partial 16S ribosomal RNA
Rfam family: Bacterial small subunit ribosomal RNA
Source: RNAcentral